Molecule: ribosomal RNA, 3073 nt
Filed under: Campylobacter jejuni
Lineage: Bacteria; Pseudomonadati; Campylobacterota; Epsilonproteobacteria; Campylobacterales; Campylobacteraceae
Description: 23S ribosomal RNA
Rfam family: Bacterial large subunit ribosomal RNA
Source: RNAcentral
UAAAAAAAGGUAAGCUACUAAGAGCGAAUGGUGGAUGCCUUGACUGGUAAAGGCGAUGAAGGACGUACUAGACUGCGAUAAGCUACGGGGAGCUGUCAAGAAGCUUUGAUCCGUAGAUUUCCGAAUGGGGCAACCCAAUGUAUAGAGAUAUACAUUACCUAUAUAGGAGCGAACGAGGGGAAUUGAAACAUCUUAGUACCCUCAGGAAAAGAAAUCAAUAGAGAUUGCGUCAGUAGCGGCGAGCGAAAGCGCAAGAGGGCAAACCCAGUGCUUGCACUGGGGGUUGUAGGACUGCAAUGUGCAAGAGCUGAGUUUAGCAGAACAUUCUGGAAAGUAUAGCCAUAGAGGGUGAUAGUCCCGUAUGCGAAAAACAAAGCUUAGCUAGCAGUAUCCUGAGUAGGGCGGGACACGAGGAAUCCUGUCUGAAUCCGGGUCGACCACGAUCCAACCCUAAAUACUAAUACCAGAUCGAUAGUGCACAAGUACCGUGAGGGAAAGGUGAAAAGAACUGAGGUGAUCAGAGUGAAAUAGAACCUGAAACCAUUUGCUUACAAUCAUUCAGAGCACUAUGUAGCAAUACAGUGUGAUGGACUGCCUUUUGCAUAAUGAGCCUGCGAGUUGUGGUGUCUGGCAAGGUUAAGCAAACGCGAAGCCGUAGCGAAAGCGAGUCUGAAUAGGGCGCUUAGUCAGAUGCUGCAGACCCGAAACGAAGUGAUCUAUCCAUGAGCAAGUUGAAGCUAGUGUAAGAACUAGUGGAGGACUGAACCCAUAGGCGUUGAAAAGCCCCGGGAUGACUUGUGGAUAGGGGUGAAAGGCCAAUCAAACUUCGUGAUAGCUGGUUCUCUCCGAAAUAUAUUUAGGUAUAGCGUUGUGUCGUAAUAUAAGGGGGUAGAGCACUGAAUGGGCUAGGGCAUACACCAAUGUACCAAACCCUAUCAAACUCCGAAUACCUUAUAUGUAAUCACAGCAGUCAGGCGGCGAGUGAUAAAAUCCGUCGUCAAGAGGGAAACAACCCAGACUACCAGCUAAGGUCCCUAAAUCUUACUUAAGUGGAAAACGAUGUGAAGUUACUUAAACAACCAGGAGGUUGGCUUAGAAGCAGCCAUCCUUUAAAGAAAGCGUAAUAGCUCACUGGUCUAGUGAUUUUGCGCGGAAAAUAUAACGGGGCUAAAGUAAGUACCGAAGCUGUAGACUUGCACACAACUUAGAUUAUUUAAGUUUAGAAUAUGAGAAACUAAGUUAUAUGUUUAGUUAUAUUUUUACUGAUUUUUAUAGAGUAAAGAUAGAAAUAAAACUUAGUAAAAUCAGUAAAAAUAUUCUUAGGCUAAAGUUAAGUAGUUUAAGUUGUGUGCAAGUGGUAGGAGAGCGUUCUAUUUGCGUCGAAGGUAUACCGGUAAGGAGUGCUGGAGCGAAUAGAAGUGAGCAUGCAGGCAUGAGUAGCGAUAAUUAAUGUGAGAAUCAUUAACGCCGUAAACCCAAGGUUUCCUACGCGAUGCUCGUCAUCGUAGGGUUAGUCGGGUCCUAAGUCGAGUCCGAAAGGGGUAGACGAUGGCAAAUUGGUUAAUAUUCCAAUACCAACAUUAGUGUGCGAUGGAAGGACGCUUAGGGCUAAGGGGGCUAGCGGAUGGAAGUGCUAGUCUAAGGUUGUAGGAGGUUAUACAGGCAAAUCCGUAUAACAAUACUCCGAGAACUGAAAGGCUUUUUGAAGUCUUCGGAUGGAUAGAAGAACCCCUGAUGCCGUCGAGCCAAGAAAAGUUUCUAAGUUUAGCUAAUGUUGCCCGUACCGUAAACCGACACAGGUGGGUGGGAUGAGUAUUCUAAGGCGCGUGGAAGAACUCUCUUUAAGGAACUCUGCAAAAUAGCACCGUAUCUUCGGUAUAAGGUGUGGUUAGCUUCGUACUAGGAUUUACUCCGAAAGCGAAGAAACUUACAACAAAGAGUCCCUCCCGACUGUUUACCAAAAACACAGCACUCUGCUAACUCGUAAGAGGAUGUAUAGGGUGUGACGCCUGCCCGGUGCUCGAAGGUUAAUUGAUGGGGUUAGCAUUAGCGAAGCUCUUGAUCGAAGCCCGAGUAAACGGCGGCCGUAACUAUAACGGUCCUAAGGUAGCGAAAUUCCUUGUCGGUUAAAUACCGACCUGCAUGAAUGGCGUAACGAGAUGGGAGCUGUCUCAAAGAGGGAUCCAGUGAAAUUGUAGUGGAGGUGAAAAUUCCUCCUACCCGCGGCAAGACGGAGAGACCCCGUGGACCUUUACUACAGCUUGACACUGCUACUUGGAUAAGAAUGUGCAGGAUAGGUGGGAGGCUUUGAGUAUAUGACGCCAGUUGUAUAUGAGCCAUUGUUGAGAUACCACUCUUUCUUAUUUGGGUAGCUAACCAGCUUGAGUUAUCCUCAAGUGGGACAAUGUCUGGUGGGUAGUUUGACUGGGGCGGUCGCCUCCCAAAUAAUAACGGAGGCUUACAAAGGUUGGCUCAGAACGGUUGGAAAUCGUUCGUAGAGUAUAAAGGUAUAAGCCAGCUUAACUGCAAGACAUACAAGUCAAGCAGAGACGAAAGUCGGUCUUAGUGAUCCGGUGGUUCUGUGUGGAAGGGCCAUCGCUCAAAGGAUAAAAGGUACCCCGGGGAUAACAGGCUGAUCUCCCCCAAGAGCUCACAUCGACGGGGAGGUUUGGCACCUCGAUGUCGGCUCAUCGCAUCCUGGGGCUGGAGCAGGUCCCAAGGGUAUGGCUGUUCGCCAUUUAAAGCGGUACGCGAGCUGGGUUCAGAACGUCGUGAGACAGUUCGGUCCCUAUCUGCCGUGGGCGUAAGAAGAUUGAAGAGAUUUGACCCUAGUACGAGAGGACCGGGUUGAACAAACCACUGGUGUAGCUGUUGUUCUGCCAAGAGCAUCGCAGCGUAGCUAAGUUUGGAAAGGAUAAACGCUGAAAGCAUCUAAGCGUGAAGCCAACUCUAAGAUGAAUCUUCUCUAAGCUCUCUAGAAGACUACUAGUUUGAUAGGCUGGGUGUGUAAUGGAUGAAAGUCCUUUAGCUGACCAGUACUAAUAGAGCGUUUGGCUUAUCUUUAAUAAAGCAU